GGUCACCUCCCACCCGUGUUUAUUUUACCUUGUUGCUUCGGCGGGCCCGCCUUAACUGGCCGCCGGGGGGCUCACGCCCCCGGGCCCGCGCCCGCCGAAGACACCCUCGAACUCUGUCUGAAGAUUGUAGUCUGAGUGAAAAUAUAAAUUAUUUAAAACUUUCAACAACGGAUCUCUUGGUUCCGGCAUCGAUGAAGAACGCGGCCAUUACCGAGUGAGGGCCCUCUGGGUCCAACCUCCCACCCGUGUUUAUUUUACCUUGUUGCUUCGGCGGGCCCGCCUUAACUGGCCGCCGGGGG
RNAcentral lists this unclassified non-coding RNA (299 nucleotides) under Penicillium chrysogenum. Its description in RNAcentral is "sequence contains ITS1". Lineage: Eukaryota; Fungi; Ascomycota; Eurotiomycetes; Eurotiales; Aspergillaceae. The record is from RNAcentral.